AGAACAUCAAGCUGCGAACAGUGCCUCUGCAGGAGCUGUGUCUGGGCAGCGCCAUCCAGGGCAGUUGUGUGACCAACAAGCCGUGGACAGUGCCUCUGCGGGAGCUGUGUCUGGAUAGCACCAUCCAGGGCAGUUAUGCAACCAACGAGAAGAAAGCUGCCCUGCCCCCGAUGUAGAGUACAGCAUUGUGAUGGCCACACCAACUUUCGAUGAUCAGCAGUGUUACAACAAUGACGAAAUAAAACAACUAGAACUUGCACUUCUAAGAGC
Long non-coding RNA from Eriocheir sinensis (Chinese mitten crab), 270 nucleotides. RefSeq lists it as uncharacterized. NCBI's taxonomy places the organism in Eukaryota, Metazoa, Arthropoda, Malacostraca, Decapoda, Varunidae. The record is from RefSeq and is a predicted model, not a curated record. The transcript is spliced from 3 exons.